AGCCUGUAGUAAUAUUUCAGGUGAAGCCUGCUCAAUGCAUAUGUAAAUAGCCGCGGAACUUUAACCGUGCUAAGGUAGCGUAAUCAUUUGUCUUUUAAAUGAAGACUGUAUGAAUGACUUAAUGGGAUUAAGCUGUCUUGAUAAGGUUUUAUAAAACUUAUUUAAUAGGUGAAAAUUCCUUUAGAAUUAAAAAAGACGAGAAGACCCUAAGAGUUUAGAUUAACAGAGAACUUACUCUUAGAUUUUUGUUGGGGCAACAGAGGAGUUAACCUCCUUUAUAUACUUGAAAUAGUUUUGAAAGAAUAAUACUACCUUAGGGAUAACAGCACAAUCUGUUUCAGGUUUGUGACCUCGAUGUUGGAUUAGGUUUAGUCUUCUCCAGAAGAGAAAUAUUAUGGCUCUGUUCGAGCAAUAUUACCU
This 420-nucleotide ribosomal RNA is filed under the name Siphonaria sp. UF 323717. RNAcentral describes it as "partial 16S ribosomal RNA". It matches the Rfam family "Archaeal large subunit ribosomal RNA", at positions 1924 to 2665 of the family's 2987-position model. Lineage: Eukaryota; Metazoa; Mollusca; Gastropoda; Siphonariida; Siphonariidae. The record is from RNAcentral.